Molecule: unclassified non-coding RNA, 516 nt
Filed under: Lactobacillus crispatus
Lineage: Bacteria; Bacillati; Bacillota; Bacilli; Lactobacillales; Lactobacillaceae
Description: partial contains 16S ribosomal RNA, 16S-23S ribosomal RNA intergenic spacer, and 23S ribosomal RNA
Rfam family: Bacterial small subunit ribosomal RNA (bases 1-195)
Source: RNAcentral
UAAUCGCGGAUCAGCACGCCGCGGUGAAUACGUUCCCGGGCCUUGUACACACCGCCCGUCACACCAUGGGAGUCUGCAAUGCCCAAAGCCGGUGGCCUAACCUUCGGGAAGGAGCCGUCUAAGGCAGGGCAGAUGACUGGGGUGAAGUCGUAACAAGGUAGCCGUAGGAGAACCUGCGGCUGGAUCACCUCCUUUCUAAGGAAGCGAAGGAUAUGGAGAGCAGGAAUGCUAAGAGAAGUAUCCAGAGCAAGCGGAAGCACACUGAGAAACUUUGUUUAGUUUUGAGGGUAGUACCUCAAAAAGAGCUAGUACAUUGAAAACUGAAUAUAAUCCAAGCAAAAAACCGAGACAAUCAAAGAGAACAGAUUGUAGAGCGACCGAGAAGAGAAUUCUUGAGUAAGGUCAAGUAGAAAAGGGCGCACGGUGAAUGCCUAGGCACUAACAGCCGAAGAAGGACGUGACGAACUACGAAAAGCUUCGGGGAGCGGUAAGUACGCAGUGAUCCGGAGAUAUCCG